AUUUUCGCUGCCAUCUUUGGUUAUUUGGAGAGAGAGAGAGAGAGAGAGAUUCAGUUACAAUGGCAUCAGAAUAAUCUCUUGCAUCUGUCAGGAUUUAGGAGAUGAUUUCAAGGCCAUUAAAGUCCACUUAGAUCUUUCAUGCAUGCUUUUGUCAUUUUCGCUUAGAUACCCAACCAUACAUACAAACAUCCAUACGUACAUACAUACAUACAUAAAUACAUAUGCUUCUAUCCUCUCAGUGUUUUGGGUUUUGAAGGCCUUCGAGUGAGAGAGAGAGAGAGAGAGAGAGAGAGAUAUGGAAGCUGUUAUCCAAACCAAAGGCCUCCUCUCUCUCCCUUCAAAUCCCAAAACCAGACCUUUCCGCCCUUCACAACCCCUCAAAUCCCGAUUUCUCACCACCAAACCCAUCAAAUCCCACCUCACCUCAUCUUCUCUCUCCCCCGACGGCCCCCGACAAAACCCAAUUCCCAAAACUCAUGGGUUUCUCAAGAAUCGCCGGAAUCUUCACUUACGCCGGGUCGAGUCCGCUGCCGCGGCGGACCAACCUGCUUAUAUCGAGGAAUCAGAGAAACCCAAGUUCCUGGGCGUUGAGAUUAUCACGUUAAAGAAGAUAAUCCCGCUUGGGUUGAUGUUCUUCUGCAUCCUCUUCAAUUACACUAUCCUCAGGGACACCAAGGACGUCCUCGUCGUGACAGCCAAAGGCAGCAGUGCUGAGAUUAUACCGUUCUUGAAGACUUGGGUAAACCUCCCGAUGGCCGUUGGAUUCAUGUUCUUGUAUGCGAAGCUGUCGAAUGUUCUGUCCAAGGAGGCCCUCUUCUAUUCGGUGAUAUUCCCUUUCAUUGGCUUCUUCGGGGCGUUCGGUUUCCUUCUGUACCCGCUCAGUGACAUGAUACACCCGACGGGGCUUGCAGAUAAGCUCGUGGCGGCACUUGGGCCGAGCUUUCUAGGCCCUGUCGCGAUUCUGAGGAUUUGGAGCUUCUGCUUGUUCUAUGUCAUGGCGGAGCUAUGGGGGAGCGUGGUGAUUUCUGUUCUGUUUUGGGGGUUUGCCAAUCAGAUUACUACUGUUGAUGAAGCAAAACAAUUCUACCCGCUAUUUGGUCUCGGAGCAAAUGUUGCCCUUAUCUUCUCAGGCCGCACAGUGAAGUACUUCUCUAAUCUGCGCAAGAAUUUGCCUCCGGGGGUCGAUGGGUGGGCCAUUUCCCUCAAAGGAAUGAUGAGCAUUGUGGUGCUUCUCGGGCUCGUAAUAUGUGGGAUUUACUGGGGAGUGAAUACCUUUGUUUUGAAUGACCCCUCUUUGCCGAAAGCAAACCGUAAGAAGAAGGAGAAACCCAAACUAGAUACCAAGGAAGGCAUGAAGUUUCUACUGUCUUCGAGAUAUAUCAGGGAUCUUGCCACUUUAGUGGUUGCCUACGGCAUCAGCAUCAACCUCGUUGAAGUCACGUGGAAAUCGAAGCUCAAGGCCCAGUUUCCUAGCCCGAAUGAAUACUCAUCCUUCAUGGGUGAUUUCUCCACUGCCACCGGGAUUGCAACAUUCACCAUGAUGCUGCUAAGCAGAGUGAUACUCCGCAGAUAUGGGUGGGGAGUUGCUGCCAUGAUCACUCCCACAGUGUUACUCAUCACAGGAGUUGCAUUCUUCUCUCUGAUUUUGUUUGGCGAGCCACUGGCUCCUAUUAUAGGGAGUUUCGGGAUUACUCCUCUACUUGCAGCCGUUUAUGUGGGAGCUUUGCAGAAUAUUUUCAGUAAGAGUGCAAAAUACAGCUUAUUCGAUCCUUGCAAAGAAAUGGCUUACAUACCCUUGGACGAAGACACUAAGGUUAAAGGCAAGGCAGCCAUCGAUGUUGUCUGCAACCCCUUGGGCAAGUCAGGAGGGGCUCUGAUCCAGCAGUUCAUGAUUUUGACAUUUGGGUCUCUUGCAAAUUCGACUCCUUACCUUGGAGGAAUACUGUUGGUGAUUGUCCUUGCAUGGUUAGCUGCAGCAAGGUCUCUGGACAAGCAGUUCACUUCCUUGGCCAAGGAAGAUCUUCUACAGGAGCAAGAGGCAACACCAAUUAUUAAGAAAGCAGCUAUAGAUGUGUCUCCAGAGGCUACCAAUGGAUCAGUUGGGAAGGAAGAGAUGAAGGCUGGAAAUGGUUCUCUUCGCGAACCAUCAAAUGGCUCAGCGCUGAAAGAUACUGCAGCUGAGGGGCCUGAAAUUUCACCAAAGACCAAUACUCCCGGCACCCAAUAGACAUUUUGUGUUGUUUUAGGAGAUGAAACCAGCCUAUGAUGAGAGGCUUAUAAAUGAUUUCAAUGGUGCGACAUUGUUACUCUAUUGAUAGAAAUAAUGAGGCAGAGGCAGAUGAUGAACAUGCUUCUGCGGUGUUUGAAACUGCACUUGAAGGCGAAAAACAUCAAGCUACACUUUUUCUAGGUUGAAACUGUUCCUGUAUUGUAAUGGGAGUGCUUGGUUAGGUGUCAUGACUUCUCUAAAAUAUUUUUCAUUUGCAUUGUAUAUUGGGUAAACGUCUCUUAAAUUUCGAAAGAAACUACAAAAUGUGAGGAAAGAAAAUCUAU
RNA transcript from Magnolia sinica, 2553 nucleotides. It is a transcript of the gene named ADP,ATP carrier protein 1, chloroplastic-like, with no coding region annotated. NCBI's taxonomy places the organism in Eukaryota, Viridiplantae, Streptophyta, Magnoliopsida, Magnoliales, Magnoliaceae. The record is from RefSeq and is a predicted model, not a curated record. The transcript has 6 exons.